Schistosoma mansoni is the source of this 46-nucleotide non-coding RNA. NCBI's taxonomy places the organism in Eukaryota, Metazoa, Platyhelminthes, Trematoda, Strigeidida, Schistosomatidae. The record is from Rfam.
GCACUGCUGAUGAGUCCCAUGCUAGGAUGAAACGACCGUCCAGUAC